GCAGCUGUGCUUGUCCAUUCACCUUCAAAAUUGGCAAAGGAGUACCAAGAGAUGCCAGAUAUACCUGGUGCCAAAUGUGUCUCCUGCAGAUGACCGCUUCCGAAAUGGUGACACUUCCUUGCCUGCUAAUUCAUUGGUAUGAGAAGCCUAAAGUGACAGGCAGUCAUAACUUACAGUCUAAUAGAACAUUUGCUGUGUCUUCUGGCGGAAGAAUUCCACUCUUAGAACGAGGACUCCGAGAUCUGCAGAGUAUAGUUUUUAAAAUGUUUAUACGUGGGACACCUACCACAGCAUGGCUGCCAAGCAGUGCCAUGUCCGCGCCCGGGAUCCGAACCAGCGAACCCCGGGCCGCCGAGAAGCGGAACAUGCGAACUUAACCGCUGCGCCACCGGGCCGGCCCCAGGUCAAGUUAUGUGAUAACUAAGAAUUGACUUUUGGAUUUACCCAUGUGGGAGGCAUUAACCAAUGGGGAAAUAAUUAAAAGGCUGGUUGGAUUUAAGAGAAAAUGGGAGGAGAAGAAUUGGAGACAACAGUAGAGACAACUUUUAAGAGUUUUGCAAUAAAGGGAAGUAGUCACUGGGAAGAAAAGUGGGGUCAAGUAAUUUUUUUAGAAAGAUUGCUGAUAUAACAGCAUGUUUGUAUGCUGAUGGAAUUGAUCCAAUAAAGCAGAAGAAAUUGGAGUGAGAAAGGAGAAUUGCUGGAGUCG
RNAcentral lists this long non-coding RNA (706 nucleotides) under Equus asinus (donkey). RNAcentral describes it as "lncRNA (ENSEASG00005024786.1)". Lineage: Eukaryota; Metazoa; Chordata; Mammalia; Perissodactyla; Equidae. The record is from RNAcentral.